ACAAUAACUUUCAUGUUCACAUCAGACAUUCACUCCUUCACGUAUCAAACGCACUGCCGUCUCCGCCGUUAAUCCCGACCACCCCCACCACCACCACUGUCAUAAACCACCGUUCAACAACACCGGUAAGUCACAAACCUUCUGAUCUCCUAUUCAUUCAUAUCCUCUUCAUAGUUAUUAUUGACCCCCAUAUUUAAAAACUAGGGUUUCAUCAUCCCCAAUUAUUAUCCACUCAAUUCACGCAUUCAACAAUCAUGCAAGCACCAGUAGCACCUAAAAACCGCUUAGAAUUCCUCAACACACGCCCUCCACCCAAUUAUGUAGCCGGAUUAGGUCGUGGAGCCACCGGUUUCACCACCCGGUCCGAUAUCGGUCCGGCGCGUGCAGCACCGGACCUCCCGGACCGUUCUGUGGGAGCCGGGGCACCCGCGGGACCCUCCGGUGUCGGCCGGGGCCGAGGCAAUGAUGAGGAAGAGGAAGAAGAAGCUGAGGAUAAAGGAUAUGAUGAGAAUCAAAAGUUUGAUGAGUUUGAAGGGAAUGAUGUUGGAUUGUUCGCUUCGGCGGAAUACGAUGAGGAAGAUAAAGAGGCUGAUGCUGUGUGGGACGAGAUUGAUAAGCGGAUGGAUUCGAGGCGGAAGGAUAGGCGCGAGGCGCGGUUGAAGGAGGAGAUUGAGAAAUACAGGGCGUCGAAUCCGAAGAUUACGGAACAGUUUGCUGAUUUGAAGCGGAAGUUGGUUACAUUGUCGGCUGCGGAGUGGGAUAGUAUACCGGAGAUUGGGGAUUAUUCGUUGCGAAACAAGAAGAAGCGGUUCGAGAGUUUUGUGCCUGUGCCGGAUACGUUACUGGAGAAGGCGAGGCAGGAGAAGGAACAUGUUACCGCGUUGGAUCCGAAGAGUAGGGCGGUUGGUGGGACGGAGACGCCGUGGGCGCAAACACCGGAUUUGACUGCGGUUGGGGAAGGUAGAGGGACGGUUUUGUCGUUGAAGUUGGAUAGGCUGUCCGAUUCGGUUUCGGGUCUGACUGUUGUUGACCCAAAAGGGUACUUGACUGAUUUGAAGAGUAUGAAAAUUACUAGUGAUGCGGAGAUUUCGGAUAUUAAAAAGGCGAGACUGUUGUUGAAGUCGGUGAUUCAAACGAAUCCGAAGCAUCCGCCUGGGUGGAUUGCGGCUGCGAGGCUGGAGGAAGUUGCGGGGAAGAUUCCGACAGCGAGGGAGUUGAUAAAAAGAGGGUGUGAGGAAUGUCCGAAGAACGAGGAUGUGUGGAUUGAGGCGUGUCGGUUAGCGAAUCCAGAUGAGGCAAAGGCUGUGAUUGCUAGGGGUGUUAAAGCGAUUCCUAAUUCGGUUAAACUUUGGAUGCAUGCUGCGAAACUGGAACACGAUGAUGCUAAUAAAAGCCGGGUGUUGAGGAAGGGUCUUGAAAAUAUUCCAGAUUCUGUAAGGCUGUGGAAAGCGGUUGUGGAACUUGCUAACGAAGAUGACGCGAAGCUUUUGCUUCAGAGAGCGGUGGAGUGUUGUCCGUUGCAUGUGGAAUUGUGGCUUGCGUUAGCUAGGUUGGAGAAGUACGAUGCAGCGAAAAAGGUACUGAAUAAGGCGAGAGAGAAGCUUCCGAAAGAACCCGCGAUUUGGAUCACUGCAGCAAAGUUGGAAGAGGCUUUUGGAAACACGUCGAUGGUUGGGAAGAUUAUAGAAAGGGGUAUUCGGGCUUUACAGAGAGAAGGAGUCGAGAUUGAUCGGGAGGCGUGGAUGAAGGAGGCCGAAGCUGCUGAACGGGCUGGUUCAGUGGCAACGUGUAAUGCGAUUAUUAGUAAUACUAUCGGGAUUGGGGUUGAAGACGAGGAUCGUAAGGCGACUUGGGUUGCUGACGCGGAAGAAUGUAAGAAACGGGGCUCGAUUGAAACCGCUAGAGCGAUUUACAGCUGUGCGAUUGCUGCGUUUAAAUCGAAGAAGAGCGUAUGGCUUAAAGCAGCUCAACUCGAGAAGGCUCACGGCACUCGUGAGUCGCUUGAUGCUUUACUUCGUAAAGCGGUUACUUACACGCCUCAAGCUGAGGUCUUAUGGUUAAUGGGUGCGAAAGAGAAGUGGCUCGCUGGCGAUGUGCCGGCAGCACGACACAUUCUUCAGGAAGCUUAUGCUGCGAUUCCGAAGUCUGAAGAAAUUUGGCUUGCUGCGUUUAAACUUGAGUUUGAGAACAACGAGCCGGAACGAGCCCGAAUGCUUCUUGCUAAAGCACGGGAACGGGGAGGAACCGAGAGAGUAUGGAUGAAGUCUGCUAUUGUUGAGAGAGAACUCGGGAACAGUUCGGAAGAACGGAGGCUCCUUGAUGAAGGGUUGAAGUUAUUUCCGUCGUUUUUCAAGCUAUGGUUAAUGCUCGGUCAGCUCGAGGAACGACUCGGUAAUUUACCGCAAGCGAAAGAAGCGUACGAGUUGGGUUUAAAGCAGUGUCCGAAUUCAACUCCUCUUUGGCUCUCUCUUGCUAAUCUCGAGGAGAGAAUGAGCGGGCUGAGUAAAGUUCGGGCCGUGCUCACAAUGGCUAGAAAAAGGAACCCGCAUUUCCCUGAAUUAUGGCUGGCUGCGAUCAGAGCCGAGUCACGACACGGUUCGAAAAAAGAAGCCGAUAUCUUAAUGGCGAAGGCGUUACAGGAAUGCCCGAAUAGUGGUAUAUUAUGGGCUGCUGCAAUCGAAAUGGCUCCACGACCGCAAAGGAAAACCAAGAGUUCUGAUGCUUACAAGAAAUGUGAACACGAUCCACAUGUAAUAGCUGCGAUUGGGAAGCUAUUUUGGCAUGACAGGAAGGUGGAUAAAGCGCGCACUUGGCUUAACCGAGCGGUUACUCUUGCACCCGAUGUUGGCGACUUUUGGGCUUUGCUUUAUAAGUUUGAACUGCAGCAUGGAACCGAGGACCAGCAGAAGGAAGUCAUGAGGAAGUGUAUUGCUGCGGAACCAAAACAUGGUGAAAAGUGGCAGCCGAUAUCGAAGGCGGUUGAGAAUUCCCAUCAGCCGGUUGAAGCGAUUUUGAAGAAGCUAGUUGUUGCCCUUGGAAAGGAAGAGAAAGCUGCUGAGGAUAACAAACACCAGUAAUGUUUUUGACUUUUUUCAGUUGGUUAUGUCUGCUUGACUUUACAGUUUUGCUCUGGUGGGAAUGGAGAUGAUGAUGAUGAUUAACUAAUUAUGUUGCUGCUGCUGUUCUAUUAUUUUAGGCAAUUCAGCCUAUAUGUAUUUGAUACAUGCAACGGUUGCAGCCAUGGCGGAUUUCGACAACAAUUUACGAUUAUAACAAAUCUGAGGCGUUUGUUAUAUUGUGUUUUGAAUUUUUAUAACAAAUCUGAGGCGUUUGUUAUAUUGCCAUUUAAUCUUCUAAUCUACUCUGAGCUCAUGAUUUCGCCCGUCUCCGUUUGCCUUGUUGACUCACUAUAAAGUAUCUUAUCAGGGUUAAUGUGAUUUAAAAUAGGAGAUGCUUGCGCUCCCUAGUCGGUCGACCGGGUAGUUGAGAGUACUCGGCCUAGGCGAAGAGUACUCGGACAUGUUAAAUUAUAAAGAAAAUCGACAACUGGAAGCGUGAGCACAUACUUGAAUUCUUGAGGGAGAAGCUGAAGCCGACAUCAGCGAUUUGAUUGGUCGGUUGAGUUUGUUCUUGAAUCUUGACGUUAUCUAGUUACGCUCAUCUUGUAGAACAAUUAUUUCUACCUCUUUAUCAUCUGCUUCAGUUAUGUACUAGACUACUAGUUUAUAUACAUGAGUAGUCAUGAGUGAAUGAUAUGAUGCAUUGGAUAAAUCAUUGUUCUUUAUCCAUGAGGAUGGUUACAAUUGUGAAGUAAAUGACUGUAAUUCAUGUCG
Helianthus annuus (common sunflower) is the source of this 3833-nucleotide RNA transcript. It is a transcript of the gene named protein STABILIZED1-like, with no coding region annotated. Lineage: Eukaryota; Viridiplantae; Streptophyta; Magnoliopsida; Asterales; Asteraceae. The transcript is spliced from 3 exons. The record is from RefSeq and is a predicted model, not a curated record.